This 1019-nucleotide ribosomal RNA is filed under the name Streptomyces sp. RNAcentral describes it as "bacterial SSU rRNA". It matches the Rfam family "Bacterial small subunit ribosomal RNA", at positions 384 to 1407 of the family's 1533-position model. The record is from RNAcentral. Lineage: Bacteria; Bacillati; Actinomycetota; Actinomycetes; Kitasatosporales; Streptomycetaceae.
UGAUGCAGCGACGCCGCGUGAGGGAUGACGGCCUUCGGGUUGUAAACCUCUUUCAGCAGGGAAGAAGCGAAAGUGACGGUACCUGCAGAAGAAGCGCCGGCUAACUACGUGCCAGCAGCCGCGGUAAUACGUAGGGCGCAAGCGUUGUCCGGAAUUAUUGGGCGUAAAGAGCUCGUAGGCGGUCUGUCACGUCGGAUGUGAAAGCCCGGGGCUUAACCCCGGGUCUGCAUUCGAUACGGGCAGACUAGAGUGUGGUAGGGGAGAUCGGAAUUCCUGGUGUAGCGGUGAAAUGCGCAGAUAUCAGGAGGAACACCGGUGGCGAAGGCGGAUCUCUGGGCCAUUACUGACGCUGAGGAGCGAAAGCGUGGGGAGCGAACAGGAUUAGAUACCCUGGUAGUCCACGCCGUAAACGGUGGGAACUAGGUGUUGGCGACAUUCCACGUCGUCGGUGCCGCAGCUAACGCAUUAAGUUCCCCGCCUGGGGAGUACGGCCGCAAGGCUAAAACUCAAAGGAAUUGACGGGGGCCCGCACAAGCAGCGGAGCAUGUGGCUUAAUUCGACGCAACGCGAAGAACCUUACCAAGGCUUGACAUACACCGGAAACGGCCAGAGAUGGUCGCCCCCUUGUGGUCGGUGUACAGGUGGUGCAUGGCUGUCGUCAGCUCGUGUCGUGAGAUGUUGGGUUAAGUCCCGCAACGAGCGCAACCCUUGUUCUGUGUUGCCAGCAUGCCCUUCGGGGUGAUGGGGACUCACAGGAGACUGCCGGGGUCAACUCGGAGGAAGGUGGGGACGACGUCAAGUCAUCAUGCCCCUUAUGUCUUGGGCUGCACACGUGCUACAAUGGCCGGUACAAAGAGCUGCGAAACCGUGAGGUGGAGCGAAUCUCAAAAAGCCGGUCUCAGUUCGGAUUGGGGUCUGCAACUCGACCCCAUGAAGUCGGAGUUGCUAGUAAUCGCAGAUCAGCAUUGCUGCGGUGAAUACGUUCCCGGGCCUUGUACACACCGCCCGUCACGUCACGA